GACGAACGCUGGCGGCGUGCUUAACACAUGCAAGUCGAGCGGUAAGGCCCUUCGGGUACACGAGCGGCGAACGGGUGAGUAACACGUGGGUGACCUGCCUCUAGCCCUCGGGAUAAGCCUGGGAAACUGGGUCUAAUACCGGAUAUGACUCCACGGCGCAUGUUGUGGGGUGGAAAGCCUUGAGUGGCUAGAGAUGGGCCCGCGGCCUAUCAGCUUGUUGGUGGGGUGAGGCCUACCAAGGCGACGACGGGUAGCCGGCCGUGAGAGGCGACCGGCCACACUGGGACUGAGACACGGCCCAGACUCCUACGGGA
Molecule: ribosomal RNA, 314 nt
Filed under: uncultured bacterium
Lineage: Bacteria
Description: bacterial SSU rRNA
Rfam family: Bacterial small subunit ribosomal RNA
Source: RNAcentral